CAUGCAGUCGAACGGUGAAGGAGAGCUUGCUCUUUGGAUCAGUGGCGAACGGGUGAGUAACACGUGAGCAAUCUGCCCCUGACUCUGGGAUAAGCGUUGGAAACGACGUCUAAUACCGGAUACGAGCUACGACCGCAUGGUCGGUAGUUGGAAAGAAUUUUGGUCAGGGAUGAGCUCGCGGCCUAUCAGCUUGUUGGUGAGGUAAUGGCUCACCAAGGCGUCGACGGGUAGCCGGCCUGAGAGGGUGACCGGCCACACUGGGACUGAGACACGGCCCAGACUCCUACGGGAGGCAGCAGUGGGGAAUAUUGCACAAUGGGCGCAAGCCUGAUGCAGCAACGCCGCGUGAGGGACGACGGCCUUCGGGUUGUAAACCUCUUUUAGCGAGGAAGAAGCGAAAGUGACGGUACUCGCAGAAAAAGCACCGGCUAACUACGUGCCAGCAGCCGCGGUAAUACGUAGGGUGCAAGCGUUAUCCGGAAUUAUUGGGCGUAAAGAGCUCGUAGGCGGUUUGUCGCGUCUGCUGUGAAAUCUGGGGGCUCAACCCCCAGCCUGCAGUGGGUACGGGCAGACUAGAGUGCGGUAGGGGAGAUUGGAAUUCCUGGUGUAGCGGUGGAAUGCGCAGAUAUCAGGAGGAACACCGAUGGCGAAGGCAGAUCUCUGGGCCGUAACUGACGCUGAGGAGCGAAAGGAUGGGGAGCAAACAGGCUUAGAUACCCUGGUAGUCCAUCCCGUAAACGUUGGGAACUAGUUGUGGGGUCCAUUCCACGGAUUCCGUGACGCAGCUAACGCAUUAAGUUCCCCGCCUGGGGAGUACGGCCGCAAGGCUAAAACUCAAAGGAAUUGACGGGGACCCGCACAAGCGGCGGAGCAUGCGGAUUAAUUCGAUGCAACGCGAAGAACCUUACCAAGGCUUGACAUAUACGAGAACGGGCUAGAGAUAGUCAACUCUUUGGACACUCGUAAACAGGUGGUGCAUGGUUGUCGUCAGCUCGUGUCGUGAGAUGUUGGGUUAAGUCCCGCAACGAGCGCAACCCUCGUUCUAUGUUGCCAGCACGUAAUGGUGGGAACUCAUGGGAUACUGCCGGGGUCAACUCGGAGGAAGGUGGGGAUGACGUCAAAUCAUCAUGCCCCUUAUGUYUUGGGCUUCACGCMUGCUACAAUGGCCGGUACAAAGGGSUGCAAUACCGUAAGGUGGAGCGAAUCCCAAAAAGCCGGUCCCAGUUCGGAUUGAGGUYUGCAACUCGACCUCAUGAAGUYGGAGUCGCUWGUAAUCGCAGAUCAGCAACGCUGCGGUGAAUACGUUCCCGGGUYUUGUACACMCCGCCCGUCAAGUCMUGAAAGUCGGUAACACCUGAAGCCGGUGGCCCAACCCUUGUGGAGGGAGCCGUCG
This 1393-nucleotide ribosomal RNA is filed under the name Microbacterium diaminobutyricum. Its description in RNAcentral is "bacterial SSU rRNA". The record is from RNAcentral. Lineage: Bacteria; Bacillati; Actinomycetota; Actinomycetes; Micrococcales; Microbacteriaceae.